This 253-nucleotide ribosomal RNA is filed under the name uncultured bacterium. RNAcentral's name for it is "partial 16S ribosomal RNA". It matches the Rfam family "Bacterial small subunit ribosomal RNA", at positions 524 to 776 of the family's 1533-position model. The record is from RNAcentral.
UACGGAGGGUGCAAGCGUUAUCCGGAUUCACUGGGUUUAAAGGGUGCGUAGGUGGGCUGGUAAGUCAGUGGUGAAAUCUCCAGGCUUAACUUGGAAACUGCCAUUGAUACUAUCAGUCUUGAAUACCGUGGAGGUCAGCGGAAUAUGUCAUGUAGCGGUGAAAUGCUUAGAUAUGACAUAGAACACCAAUUGCGAAGGCAGCUGGCUACACGAAUAUUGACGCUGAGGCACGAAAGCGUGGGGAUCAAACAGG